This 447-nucleotide ribosomal RNA is filed under the name uncultured bacterium. Its description in RNAcentral is "partial 16S ribosomal RNA". It matches the Rfam family "Bacterial small subunit ribosomal RNA", at positions 29 to 523 of the family's 1533-position model. The record is from RNAcentral.
AACGAACGCUGGCGGCAGGCUUAACACAUGCAAGUCGAACGCCCCGCAAGGGGAGUGGCAGACGGGUGAGUAACGCGUGGGAAUCUACCCAUCCCUACGGCACAACUCCGGGAAACUGGAGCUAAUACCGUAUACGCCCUACGGGGGGAAGAUUUAUCGGGGAUGGAUGAGCCCGCGUUGGCUUAGCUAGUUGGUGGGGUAAAGGCCUACCAAGGCGACGAUCAAUAGCUGGUCUGAGAGGAUGAUCAGCCUCAUUGGGACUGAGACACGGCCCAAACUCCUACGGGAGGCAGCAGUGGGGAAUAUUGGACAAUGGGCGCAAGCCUGAUCCAGCCAUGCCGCGUGAGUGAUGAAGGUCUUAGGAUUGUAAAGCUCUUUCACCGAUGAAGAUAAUGACGGUAGUCGGAGAAGAAGCCCCGGCUAACUUCGUGCCAGCAGCCGCCGUAA